Molecule: ribosomal RNA, 490 nt
Filed under: uncultured bacterium
Lineage: Bacteria
Description: partial 16S ribosomal RNA
Rfam family: Bacterial small subunit ribosomal RNA
Source: RNAcentral
AUUGAACGCUGGCGGCAUGCUUUACACAUGCAAGUCGAACGGCAGCACGAAAGAGCUUGCUCUUUUGGUGGCGAGUGGCGAACGGGUGAGUAAUGCAUCGGAACGUACCGAGUAAUGGGGGAUAACUGUCCGAAAGGAUAGCUAAUACCGCAUACGCUUUGAGAAGGAAAGUGGGGGCUCUUCGGACCUCACGUUAUCCGAGCGGCCGAUGUCUGAUUAGCUAGUUGGUGGGGUAAAGGCCUACCAAGGCGACGAUCAGUAGCGGGUCUGAGAGGAUGAUCCGCCACACUGGGACUGAGACACGGCCCAGACUCCUACGGGAGGCAGCAGUGGGGAAUUUUGGACAAUGGGCGCAAGCCUGAUCCAGCCAUGCCGCGUGUCUGAAGAAGGCCUUCGGGUUGUAAAGGACUUUUGUUAGGGAAGAAAAGGAUAGUGUUAAUACCAUUAUCUGCUGACGGUACCUAAAGAAUAAGCACCGGCUAACUACGUG